UACUUAGGGCGCAAGCGUUGUCCGGAAUUAUUGGGCGUAAAGAGCUCGUAGUCGGCCUGUCGCGUCUGCUGUGAAAUCCCGGGGCUCAACCCCGGGCCUGCAGUGGAUACGGGCUGGCUGGAGGCAGGCAGGGGAGAACGGAAUUCCUGGUGUAGCGGUGAAAUGCGCAGAUAUCAGGAGGAACACCGGUGGCGAAGGCGGUUCUCUGGGCCUGUUCUGACGCUGAGGAGCGAAAGCGUGGGGAGCGAACAGG
This 253-nucleotide ribosomal RNA is filed under the name uncultured bacterium. RNAcentral describes it as "partial 16S ribosomal RNA". It matches the Rfam family "Bacterial small subunit ribosomal RNA", at positions 524 to 776 of the family's 1533-position model. The record is from RNAcentral.